AUACCUUUCUCGGCCUUUUGGCUAAGAUCAAGUGUAGUAUCUGUUCUUAUCAGUUUUAUAUCUGAUAUAUGGGCCAUUGGUCCAUACGAUAUUAAUUAAGUUUUUUGAGGGGGAGAGUCCGUUGAGGUUAGCUUGCUACCUGGGUUCUCGAGCGUCGCCUAGGCUUUGAACUUCUGCCCAGGCCUGGCGCGCCCCAC
Molecule: small nuclear RNA, 197 nt
Organism: Solanum dulcamara
Lineage: Eukaryota; Viridiplantae; Streptophyta; Magnoliopsida; Solanales; Solanaceae
Product: U2 spliceosomal RNA
Exons: 1
Source: RefSeq, a predicted model, not a curated record